UUUUUUUUCUUUUUUCACAUUAAUCUCAAUCACUCUAAAAACUCAUUGUCUCAGUUCCAAAGAGAACGUCUCUUAGUUUCUCUCAAAAACGAGCCCCUCGCCUUCGCUAAAUCUCAGAUUAGAGUUCUCUCUUUUUUAUUUUUUCCAGAAAAAGAAGCAGAAGCAGGAAGAUGAAGCCGACUUUAGUAUCAAGAACGAAAAAAUUCCCCUUCGCCCAUAAACAACUCCUCCAAUGGAGUUCCAGAGCUUCUUCUUCUCUUAGGUCUAGGAUUUUUAAUUCUUCUCCGUAUCUUUCUAGAACCUUCCCUGCUUCUUCUUCCACUCCUCCUCCUGUGUUCAGUUACCGAUCUCUCAACUUCUCCUCUACGGUUCAAUCUCUCCGCUACUCCGCCUCCAUGGAAGGAUAUUUCUUGGUUUGAAGAGCUUCUGACAUCUCCCCCCUCUUUUCAUCUGGUGCAUUGAUCAGAUUUUGGGUUUGUAUAAAGGUUAUAUCAUAGUAAAGGAUGUUUUUGAGUUUCUUUUUAGCUAUCUUGAAUUUUGGCUAUUUUACUAUUUUUUGGAGGUACUUGAGAAGGUUUGCAUUUUUUUUAGCAGACUGGCAAAUAUGUGUCUUUCUUGCAGGUUAUACUCCUAAUUAUUUUGGCUGUCCCUUUUGGCUUAGAAGCAAAAUAUAUAUUUUAUUGAAGCUUGUGUCUGGAAUAACAAGUGUUGGAGUUGCACUUCAUCUUCAUGUAUACAAUUUAGAUGCUCCGGUCUCAGUUUAUGUGUACCACUUUUAUUUCGAAACUCUAAUUUUAACAAUUCUCUGUAAUUGUAAUUAAUCAUGUUUAAUUACAUUGUUGUGCAUCACCUUCAAUAAGUUAUGCCAUCUUAACCACCGGUAAGUUUUUCUUCUUUUCAUUCUUUCUUAGAUCUGGGUAUGGGUAUGAAAUAUGAAUUAGUUUUGAGAAAUUUGGUUGGAUUGAUUUUUAUUUAGGUAUUUGGGUAACAUUAGGUUUUGAUUUGAUUUUUUGAAAUUUGGGGUUAUAUAUGAUUUAGGUUUGGAGAGGGCAAAAACAGAGAAAUAAGAGAGAAGGAGAGAGUUCUCUGUUCCCUCUUCAGACUUAAAGCACCGCUACAAGCACAUAGGGAAAGAAAAAUCUAUGGGCUACAUAUCUUUCACCAUCAGAUCGUAGGAACUGGCUCCGGUGAGUGGAAGAAAAGGCAAGCAGUAGAAGCUGUCCAGGAAGCCAGACGUAAGAUAAAGCUUAAGAGAUAAAGCAGCAUGACAAGCAUUAGGCCAUUGUGACUGAACAAAUAUGAGGUUAUAAGAGUUGGGAUAGUAGCUUGAUGCCAGAUUAGCAAGUGAGGGAGACAGAGGAGAGUGAAGGAGAGAGAGAGAGAGAAUAAGAAAGAUAAGAAAAUGCUUUAGAUUACUACACCAACACUGCCCAAUAUAUAUAUAUUUCUAAAAUCUAUGUGUUUUGAGUAGUUGAUAGGCUAAAUCUAGAAAAUUUAGAGUACGUUUUAUGGAAUUUCUCAUAGAAGCUUUAUUGUUUUCUAAAAUAAAUUUGUUAUCUGGUGUUUUUUUCCCUAUUUGAUGCAGAAAGCUAAAUAUUAUAAACAAUUAUUCUUUUUUCCUUCUAUAAUGGUUUUAAUCAGAUAAGAAUGAUCUUAUUUUGUAGUUAAUAUUUUCAAUUGUAGAUUAGGAGCUGCAUUCUAAAGAAUUAUGUUCUUCCAUCCUUUAUAAAGACAAACCAUGUCAUCAUUUAUGACAUUAGUAAUAAAAACAAUAGAUUGAUAUUGAUAUUAAUUCAAAUUUUUAUAAAUAUUGCCUUACCUUAUGAAAAUAGUAAGCUAGAAGUUUAGUUUUUAUUUUAUUUGUAAAUUCUUACAAUCAUGGACCAACAAAAUUAGUGAUCUGCUAUUUGCUCCAAAGUUAACAUUGAUAGUAUUAUUGAUGUGUAGGUGUAAAAAAAAGUUUUAAACACCCCAAAGUGGAUAUGGUAGGCAAGAUUACCAGCAUGCAAUUGCUGCUGAAAAGCUGUCAAACUUAAAUCCUUUUCUUCAUCUUGAUGCCAAACUCAGGAUUUAAUGUCGAAAUCAAAGUUUGAGAGGGAAUUUGCAGCUUGAAAGUAGAUGGAUUUAUUGCAUUUUGUACGUUAAUAGCAAUUUCCCAUUUUGAUUUGCAAGGACAUUCUCACAAAUUUAGAGACUACUAUGUCCCUCUUGGCAUAUAUGUUCUGAGACUUACAAGACUUACAAUGAAUAUAAAGCAUAAUAUUAAAUUUGUAUCAGCAAAAAUGGUGUCCUCACACACUUUAUAUAUAAAAGAAACCGAGGAAAUAUGAAUUUUUUAUAGUUAUAUUUUUCCAGUUUCUUUCAUUCCUGUUGUAACAAAGAGACAGAACUAAGUUAAACAUGCAAAAGGUUAAAUUUUAUUUGAAUAUUCAUGUUUU
Molecule: long non-coding RNA, 2438 nt
Organism: Quercus robur (English oak)
Lineage: Eukaryota; Viridiplantae; Streptophyta; Magnoliopsida; Fagales; Fagaceae
Exons: 5
Source: RefSeq, a predicted model, not a curated record